AGCGAACGCUGGCGGCAGGCUUAACACAUGCAAGUCGAGCGGGCACUUCGGUGUCAGCGGCAGACGGGUGAGUAACACGUGGGAACGUACCCUUUGGUUCGGAAUAACGCUGGGAAACUAGCGCUAAUACCGGAUACGCCCUUUUGGGGAAAGGCUUGCUGCCGAAGGAUCGGCCCGCGUCUGAUUAGCUAGUUGGUGGGGUAAUGGCCUACCAAGGCGACGAUCAGUAGCUGGUCUGAGAGGAUGAUCAGCCACACUGGGACUGAGACACGGCCCAGACUCGUACGGGAGGGAGCAGUGGGGAAUAUUGGACAAGGGGCGCAAGCCUGAUCCAGCCAUGCCGCGUGAGUGAUGAAGGCCUUAGGGUUGUAAAGCUCUUUUGUCCGGGACGAUAAUGACGGUACCGGAAGAAUAAGCCCCGGCUAACUUCGUG
RNAcentral lists this ribosomal RNA (433 nucleotides) under uncultured bacterium. Its description in RNAcentral is "partial 16S ribosomal RNA". It matches the Rfam family "Bacterial small subunit ribosomal RNA", at positions 29 to 507 of the family's 1533-position model. The record is from RNAcentral.